This 575-nucleotide ribosomal RNA is filed under the name Haplosyllis sp. 2 MTA-2011. Its description in RNAcentral is "SSU rRNA". It matches the Rfam family "Eukaryotic small subunit ribosomal RNA", at positions 1219 to 1804 of the family's 1831-position model. The record is from RNAcentral. Lineage: Eukaryota; Metazoa; Annelida; Polychaeta; Phyllodocida; Syllidae.
CCGGCCCGGACACCGUGAGGAUUGACAGAUUGAGAGCUCUUUCUUGAUUCGGUGGAUGGUGGUGCAUGGCCGUUCUUAGUUGGUGGAGCGAUUUGUCUGGUUAAUUCCGUUAACGAACGAGACUCUAGCCUAUUAAAUAGUUCACCGCCCGCCAAUGGGAGUGGUGAAAACUUCUUAGAGGGACAAGCGGCGCUCAGCCGCACGAGACAGAGCAAUAACAGGUCUGUGAUGCCCUUAGAUGUUCGGGGCCGCACGCGCGCUACACUGAUAGAGUCAGAGGGCCUAGUACCUGUCGGACACGGCCGGUUAACCCGAUAGAACCUCUAUCGUGCUAGGGACUGGGGCUUGAAAUUCUUCCCCAUGAACGAGGAAUUCCCAGUAAGUGUGAGUCAUCAGCUCACGUUGAUUACGUCCCUGCCCUUUGUACACACCGCCCGUCGCUACUACCGAUUGAAUGGUUUAGUGAGGCCCUCGGACGCCCCCCGGGCCGGCAGACUCUGUCGGUCGCCAGGUGCGCGGCGAAAGACGGUCGAACUUGAUCAUUUAGAGGAAGUAAAAGUCGUAACAAGGUUUCC